RNAcentral lists this ribosomal RNA (493 nucleotides) under uncultured bacterium. RNAcentral's name for it is "partial 16S ribosomal RNA". It matches the Rfam family "Bacterial small subunit ribosomal RNA", at positions 30 to 523 of the family's 1533-position model. The record is from RNAcentral.
AUUGAACGCUGGCGGCAUGCCUUACACAUGCAAGUCGAACGGUAACAGGUUAAGCUGACGAGUGGCGAACGGGUGAGUAAUGUAUCGGGACGUGCCCAGUCGUGGGGGAUAACGUAGCGAAAGCUACGCUAAUACCGCAUACGAUCUACGGAUGAAAGCGGGGGAUCGCAAGACCUCGCGCGAUUCGAGCGGCCGAUAUCAGAUUAGGUUGUUGGUGAGGUAAAAGCUCACCAAGCCUGCGAUCUGUAGCUGGUCUGAGAGGACGACCAGCCACACUGGAACUGAGACACGGUCCAGACUCCUACGGGAGGCAGCAGUGGGGAAUUUUGGACAAUGGACGCAAGUCUGAUCCAGCAAUGCCGCGUGCAGGACGAAGGCCUUCGGGUUGUAAACUGCUUUUGUACGGAACGAAACGGUGAGCUCUAAUACAGUUUGCUAAUGACGGUACCGUAAGAAUAAGCACCGGCUAACUACGUGCCAGCCGCCGCAGUAA